This 2902-nucleotide ribosomal RNA is filed under the name Klebsiella pneumoniae. Its description in RNAcentral is "23S ribosomal RNA". It matches the Rfam family "Bacterial large subunit ribosomal RNA". The record is from RNAcentral. Lineage: Bacteria; Pseudomonadati; Pseudomonadota; Gammaproteobacteria; Enterobacterales; Enterobacteriaceae.
GGUUAAGCGACUAAGCGUACACGGUGGAUGCCCUGGCAGUCAGAGGCGAUGAAGGACGUGCUAAUCUGCGAAAAGCGUCGGUAAGGUGAUAUGAACCGUUAUAACCGGCGAUGUCCGAAUGGGGAAACCCAGUGCAAUUCGUUGCACUAUCGUUAACUGAAUACAUAGGUUAACGAGGCGAACCGGGGGAACUGAAACAUCUAAGUACCCCGAGGAAAAGAAAUCAACCGAGAUUCCCCCAGUAGCGGCGAGCGAACGGGGAGCAGCCCAGAGUCUGAAUCAGCUUGUGUGUUAGUGGAACGGUCUGGAAAGUCCGACGGUACAGGGUGAUAGUCCCGUACACCAAAAUGCACAGGCUGUGAACUCGAAGAGUAGGGCGGGACACGUGGUAUCCUGUCUGAAUAUGGGGGGACCAUCCUCCAAGGCUAAAUACUCCUGACUGACCGAUAGUGAACCAGUACCGUGAGGGAAAGGCGAAAAGAACCCCGGCGAGGGGAGUGAAAAAGAACCUGAAACCGUGUACGUACAAGCAGUGGGAGCACCUUCGGGUGUGACUGCGUACCUUUUGUAUAAUGGGUCAGCGACUUAUAUUCUGUAGCAAGGUUAACCGUAUAGGGGAGCCGCAGGGAAACCGAGUCUUAACUGGGCGUUAAGUUGCAGGGUAUAGACCCGAAACCCGGUGAUCUAGCCAUGGGCAGGUUGAAGGUUGGGUAACACUAACUGGAGGACCGAACCGACUAAUGUUGAAAAAUUAGCGGAUGACUUGUGGCUGGGGGUGAAAGGCCAAUCAAACCGGGAGAUAGCUGGUUCUCCCCGAAAGCUAUUUAGGUAGCGCCUCGUGAACUCAUCUUCGGGGGUAGAGCACUGUUUCGGCUAGGGGGUCAUCCCGACUUACCAACCCGAUGCAAACUACGAAUACCGAAGAAUGUUAUCACGGGAGACACACGGCGGGUGCUAACGUCCGUCGUGAAGAGGGAAACAACCCAGACCGCCAGCUAAGGUCCCAAAGUCAUGGUUAAGUGGGAAACGAUGUGGGAAGGCACAGACAGCCAGGAUGUUGGCUUAGAAGCAGCCAUCAUUUAAAGAAAGCGUAAUAGCUCACUGGUCGAGUCGGCCUGCGCGGAAGAUGUAACGGGGCUAAACCAUGCACCGAAGCUGCGGCAGCGACACUAUGUGUUGUUGGGUAGGGGAGCGUUCUGUAAGCCUGCGAAGGUGACCUGUGAGGGUUGCUGGAGGUAUCAGAAGUGCGAAUGCUGACAUAAGUAACGAUAAAGCGGGUGAAAAGCCCGCUCGCCGGAAGACCAAGGGUUCCUGUCCAACGUUAAUCGGGGCAGGGUGAGUCGACCCCUAAGGCGAGGCCGAAAGGCGUAGUCGAUGGGAAACAGGUUAAUAUUCCUGUACUUGGUGUUACUGCGAAGGGGGACGGAGAAGGCUAUGUUAGCCGGGCGACGGUUGUCCCGGUUUAAGCAUGUAGGCUGGUUGUCCAGGCAAAUCCGGAUAAUCAAGGCUGAGGUGUGAUGACGAGGCACUACGGUGCUGAAGUAACAAAUGCCCUGCUUCCAGGAAAAGCCUCUAAGCAUCAGGUAACAUUAAAUCGUACCCCAAACCGACACAGGUGGUCAGGUAGAGAAUACCAAGGCGCUUGAGAGAACUCGGGUGAAGGAACUAGGCAAAAUGGUGCCGUAACUUCGGGAGAAGGCACGCUGGUGUGUAGGUGAAGUCCCUGCGGAUGGAGCUGAGACCAGUCGAAGAUACCAGCUGGCUGCAACUGUUUAUUAAAAACACAGCACUGUGCAAACACGAAAGUGGACGUAUACGGUGUGACGCCUGCCCGGUGCCGGAAGGUUAAUUGAUGGGGUUAUCCGUAAGGAGAAGCUCUUGAUCGAAGCCCCGGUAAACGGCGGCCGUAACUAUAACGGUCCUAAGGUAGCGAAAUUCCUUGUCGGGUAAGUUCCGACCUGCACGAAUGGCGUAAUGAUGGCCAGGCUGUCUCCACCCGAGACUCAGUGAAAUUGAACUCGCUGUGAAGAUGCAGUGUACCCGCGGCAAGACGGAAAGACCCCGUGAACCUUUACUAUAGCUUGACACUGAACAUUGAGCCUUGAUGUGUAGGAUAGGUGGGAGGCUUUGAAGCGUGGACGCCAGUCUGCGUGGAGCCAACCUUGAAAUACCACCCUUUAAUGUUUGAUGUUCUAACGUUGGCCCCUGACCGGGGUUGCGGACAGUGUCUGGUGGGUAGUUUGACUGGGGCGGUCUCCUCCCAAAGCGUAACGGAGGAGCACGAAGGUUAGCUAAUCCUGGUCGGACAUCAGGAGGUUAGUGCAAUGGCAUAAGCUAGCUUGACUGCGAGCGUGACGGCGCGAGCAGGUGCGAAAGCAGGUCAUAGUGAUCCGGUGGUUCUGAAUGGAAGGGCCAUCGCUCAACGGAUAAAAGGUACUCCGGGGAUAACAGGCUGAUACCGCCCAAGAGUUCAUAUCGACGGCGGUGUUUGGCACCUCGAUGUCGGCUCAUCACAUCCUGGGGCUGAAGUAGGUCCCAAGGGUAUGGCUGUUCGCCAUUUAAAGUGGUACGCGAGCUGGGUUUAGAACGUCGUGAGACAGUUCGGUCCCUAUCUGCCGUGGGCGCUGGAGAAUUGAGGGGGGGCUGCUCCUAGUACGAGAGGACCGGAGUGGACGCAUCACUGGUGUUCGGGUUGUCAUGCCAAUGGCACUGCCCGGUAGCUAAAUGCGGAAGAGAUAAGUGCUGAAAGCAUCUAAGCACGAAACUUGCCCCGAGAUGAGUUCUCCCUGAGACUUUAAGUCUCCUGAAGGAACGUUAAAGACGAUGACGUUGAUAGGCCGGGUGUGUAAGCGCAGCGAUGCGUUGAGCUAACCGGUACUAAUGAACCGUGAGGCUUAACCUU